Small nucleolar RNA from Echinops telfairi (small Madagascar hedgehog), 127 nucleotides. The record is from Ensembl. NCBI's taxonomy places the organism in Eukaryota, Metazoa, Chordata, Mammalia, Afrosoricida, Tenrecidae.
CGCACUUGUGUUUGUGUUUGUCUGAUCUGCGGACAAACACUCAAAGACAGGUGCAAGAAUAAAUUCUGUUUUGCAACCCAGAAUUCAUUACUCAGUAUGACUUUUGAUACAGAUAAGAAGGAACAUG